GACGAACGCUGGCGGCGUGCCUAAUACAUGCAAGUCGAACGAACAGACCAGGAGUUUGCUCCUAUGACGUUAGCGGCGGACGGGAGCGUCACAUGUGGAUAAACUACCUAUCCGACUGGGAUAAUUAUGGGAAACCGGAGCUAAUACCGAAUAAUUUAUUGCCCCUCAUUGUUCAAUCGUUAAAUUCGGUUUUUCUGUCGGUAAAAGCUGGAUACGCGCACCAUUCACUUGUUGGUAAGGUAACGGCUUAGCAAGGCAGCGAGGCGUAAACGACCUCAGCGGGUGGUCGGCUACAUGGGAUGUGAGACAGGGUCCACACUCUGAGGGUAGGCAGCAGUAGGGAAUCUUCCGCAAUGGAGGAGAGCCUGACGGUGCAACGUGGGGGGAGUGAUGAAGCUCUUCUGAUCGUAAAGCUCUGUUAUUAGUGGAGUUCAAAUGUGUAAGUACCUAUGCACGUAUUGACGGUACCGGGUCAGAAAGCCACGGCUAACUACGUG
Molecule: ribosomal RNA, 497 nt
Filed under: uncultured bacterium
Lineage: Bacteria
Description: partial 16S ribosomal RNA
Rfam family: Bacterial small subunit ribosomal RNA
Source: RNAcentral